GACGAACGCUGGCGGCGUGCUUAACACAUGCAAGUCGAACGGAAAGGCCCUGCUUUUGUGGGGUGCUCGAGUGGCGAACGGGUGAGUAACACGUGAGUAACCUGCCCUUGCCUUUGGGAUAACUUCAGGAAACUGGGGCUCAUACCGGCUAGGAGCUCCUGCUGCAUGGUGGGGGUUGGAAAGUUUCGGCGGUUGGGGAUGGACUCGCGGCUUAUCAGCUUGUUGGUGGGGUAGUGGCUUACCAAGGCUUUGACGGGUAGCCGGCCUGAGAGGGUGACCGGCCACAUUGGGACGGAGAUACGGCCCAGACUCCUACGGGAGGCAGCAGUGGGGAAUAGUGCACUAUGGGCGGAAGCCUGAUGCAGCAACGCCGCGUGCGGGAUGACGGCCUUCGGGUUGUAAACCGCUUUCGCCUGUGACGAAGCGUGAGUGACGGUAAUGGGUAAAGAAGCACCGGCUAACUACGUG
RNAcentral lists this ribosomal RNA (468 nucleotides) under uncultured bacterium. RNAcentral's name for it is "partial 16S ribosomal RNA". It matches the Rfam family "Bacterial small subunit ribosomal RNA", at positions 28 to 507 of the family's 1533-position model. The record is from RNAcentral.